RNAcentral lists this ribosomal RNA (253 nucleotides) under uncultured prokaryote. Its description in RNAcentral is "partial 16S ribosomal RNA". It matches the Rfam family "Bacterial small subunit ribosomal RNA", at positions 524 to 776 of the family's 1533-position model. The record is from RNAcentral.
GACAGAGGUCCCGAGCGUUAGGCGGAAUCACUGGGCUUAAAGCGUGUGUAGGCGGCGGCCUAAGUACCUUGUGAAAUCCCACAGCUUAACUGUGGAACUGCUUGGUAUACUGCCAGUCUUGAGCCAGCUAGGGGCUACCGGAACAAAUGGUGGAGCGGUGAAAUGCGUAGAUAUCAUUUGGAACGCCAAUGGUGAAAACAGGUAGCUGGGGCUGUGCUGACACUGAGACACGAAAGCCAGGGGAGCAAACGGG